RNAcentral lists this ribosomal RNA (497 nucleotides) under uncultured bacterium. Its description in RNAcentral is "partial 16S ribosomal RNA". It matches the Rfam family "Bacterial small subunit ribosomal RNA", at positions 28 to 507 of the family's 1533-position model. The record is from RNAcentral.
GAUGGACGCUGGCGGCGUGCCUAAUACAUGCAAGUCGAGCGAACAGACGAGGAGCUUGCUCCUCUGACGUUAGCGGCGGACGGGUGAGUAACACGUGGAUAACCUACCUAUAAGACUGGGAUAACUUCGGGAAACCGGAGCUAAUACCGGAUAAUAUAUUGAACCGCAUGGUUCAAUAGUGAAAGACGGUUUUGCUGUCACUUAUAGAUGGAUCCGCGCCGCAUUAGCUAGUUGGUAAGGUAACGGCUUACCAAGGCAACGAUGCGUAGCCGACCUGAGAGGGUGAUCGGUCACACUGGAACUGAGACACGGUCCAGACUCCUACGGGAGGCAGCAGUAGGGAAUCUUCCGCAAUGGGCGAAAGCCUGACGGAGCAACGCCGCGUGAGUGAUGAAGGUCUUCGGAUCGUAAAACUCUGUUAUUAGGGAAGAACAAAUGUGUAAGUAACUAUGCACGUCUUGACGGUACCUAAUCAGAAAGCCACGGCUAACUACGUG